CUAGAGCGCAAGUCUAGCCGGCUCGAGACUAGUAGUCUUCGCUCGGCGCAUUUCUCCGGGGUAUAGCACUGCGACCGAUACGAAAGGCUGGCGAAGCGACUGGGUUGAGGUCGAGACCCGCGAGGUGCUCUCGUUUCCAGCCCUAUCGCCUAGAGUCGCCAGACCGCAGUAUGUAUCGAGCGCCAGUAAGAUGAUAUGUCGGCGUAGAGUGCUCGCUCGAGCGGUGGACGGUCCUUAGACCUUCGCUGGCGCCUGCUCGCAGGUACCGGCGAGUCCUUAGGGGCCUAGAAGCCGCCGGCGACUUUGACAUAUCGGCGUCUGCAGUGUCAGUGUCGGCCACCCGUCCGACCCGUCUUGAAACACGGACCAAGGAGUCUAACAUAUGCGCGAGCUAGUGGGUGAGAAAACCCAGAAGCGCAAUAAAAGUGAACGCCGUCUCAGGCGGCUUAGAUACGAUCCUAGAGUCCUUCGGUGACUACUGGGCGCAGUAUCGUCCCGUCUCGACCGCAUGUCGGUAGGGCGGAGAUAGAGUGCAUACGUUGGGACCCGAAAGAUGGUGAACUAUGCCUGAGCAGA
This 576-nucleotide ribosomal RNA is filed under the name Chitwoodius sp. HH-2018. RNAcentral describes it as "LSU rRNA". It matches the Rfam family "Eukaryotic large subunit ribosomal RNA", at positions 588 to 845 of the family's 3401-position model. The record is from RNAcentral. Lineage: Eukaryota; Metazoa; Nematoda; Enoplea; Dorylaimida; Tylencholaimidae.